UGGUCCUACGGGAGGCAGCAGUGAGGAAUAUUGGUCAAUGGUCGGGAGACUGAACCAGCCAAGCCGCGUGAGGGAUGAAGGUACAGAGUAUCGUAAACCUCUUUUGUCAGGGAACAAAGGCGGGGACGUGUCCCCGGAUGAGUGUACCUGAAGAAAAAGCAUCGGCUAACUCCGUGCCAGCAGCCGCGGUAAUACGGAGGAUGCGAGCGUUAUCCGGAUUUAUUGGGUUUAAAGGGGGCGUAGGUUGUUUUUUAAGUCAGCGGUGAAAGUUUGUGGCUCAACCAUAAAAUUGUCGUUGAAACUGG
RNAcentral lists this ribosomal RNA (305 nucleotides) under uncultured bacterium. Its description in RNAcentral is "bacterial SSU rRNA". It matches the Rfam family "Bacterial small subunit ribosomal RNA", at positions 334 to 636 of the family's 1533-position model. The record is from RNAcentral.